GUGGGGAAUCUUCCGCAAUGGACGAAAGUCUGACGGAGCAACGCCGCGUGAGUGAUGAAGGUCUUCGGAUUGUAAAGCUCUGUUAAUCGGGACGAAAGAGCCUAGUGUGAAUAAUGCUAGGAAGUGACGGUACCGGAAUAGAAAGCCACGGCUAACUACGUGCCAGCAGCCGCGGUAAUACGGAGGUGGCAAGCGUUGUCCGGAAUUAUUGGGCGUAAAGCGCGCGCAGGCGGAUCUGCCAGUCUGUCUUAAAAGUUCGGGGCUUAACCCCGUGAUGGGAUGGAAACUACAGAUCUAGAGUAUCGGAGAGGAAAGUGGAAUUCCUAGUGUAGCGGUGAAAUGCGUAGAUAUUAGGAAGAACACCAGUGGCGAAGGCGACUUUCUGGACGAAAACUGACGCUGAGGCGCGAAAGCCAGGGGAGCGAACGGGAUUAGAAACCCGAGUAGUCC
This 450-nucleotide ribosomal RNA is filed under the name uncultured bacterium. Its description in RNAcentral is "partial 16S ribosomal RNA". It matches the Rfam family "Bacterial small subunit ribosomal RNA", at positions 354 to 796 of the family's 1533-position model. The record is from RNAcentral.